UUAAGUUAUUAAGGGCGCACGGUGGAUGCCUUGGCACUAGAAGCCGAUGAAGGACGUUACUAACGACGAUAUGCUUUGGGGAGCUGUAAGUAAGCUUUGAUCCAGAGAUUUCCGAAUGGGGAAACCCAGCAUGAGUUAUGUCAUGUUAUCGAUAUGUGAAUACAUAGCAUAUCAGAAGGCACACCCGGAGAACUGAAACAUCUUAGUACCCGGAGGAAGAGAAAGAAAAUUCGAUUCCCUUAGUAGCGGCGAGCGAAACGGGAAGAGCCCAAACCAACAAGCUUGCUUGUUGGGGUUGUAGGACACUCUAUACGGAGUUACAAAGGACGACAUUAGACGAAUCAUCUGGAAAGAUGAAUCAAAGAAGGUAAUAAUCCUGUAGUCGAAAAUGUUGUCUCUCUUGAGUGGAUCCUGAGUACGACGGAGCACGUGAAAUUCCGUCGGAAUCUGGGAGGACCAUCUCCUAAGGCUAAAUACUCUCUAGUGACCGAUAGUGAACCAGUACCGUGAGGGAAAGGUGAAAAGCACCCCGGAAGGGGAGUGAAAUAGAACCUGAAACCGUGUGCUUACAAGUAGUCAGAGCCCGUUAAUGGGUGAUGGCGUGCCUUUUGUAGAAUGAACCGGCGAGUUACGAUUUGAUGCAAGGUUAAGCAGUAAAUGUGGAGCCGUAGCGAAAGCGAGUCUGAAUAGGGCGUUUAGUAUUUGGUCGUAGACCCGAAACCAGGUGAUCUACCCUUGGUCAGGUUGAAGUUCAGGUAACACUGAAUGGAGGACCGAACCGACUUACGUUGAAAAGUGAGCGGAUGAACUGAGGGUAGCGGAGAAAUUCCAAUCGAACCUGGAGAUAGCUGGUUCUCUCCGAAAUAGCUUUAGGGCUAGCCUCAAGUGAUGAUUAUUGGAGGUAGAGCACUGUUUGGACGAGGGGCCCCUCUCGGGUUACCGAAUUCAGACAAACUCCGAAUGCCAAUUAAUUUAACUUGGGAGUCAGAACAUGGGUGAUAAGGUCCGUGUUCGAAAGGGAAACAGCCCAGACCACCAGCUAAGGUCCCAAAAUAUAUGUUAAGUGGAAAAGGAUGUGGCGUUGCCCAGACAACUAGGAUGUUGGCUUAGAAGCAGCCAUCAUUUAAAGAGUGCGUAAUAGCUCACUAGUCGAGUGACACUGCGCCGAAAAUGUACCGGGGCUAAACAUAUUACCGAAGCUGUGGAUUGUCCUUUGGACAAUGGUAGGAGAGCGUUCUAAGGGCGUUGAAGCAUGAUCGUAAGGACAUGUGGAGCGCUUAGAAGUGAGAAUGCCGGUGUGAGUAGCGAAAGACGGGUGAGAAUCCCGUCCACCGAUUGACUAAGGUUUCCAGAGGAAGGCUCGUCCGCUCUGGGUUAGUCGGGUCCUAAGCUGAGGCCGACAGGCGUAGGCGAUGGAUAACAGGUUGAUAUUCCUGUACCACCUAUAAUCGUUUUAAUCGAUGGGGGGGACGCAGUAGGAUAGGCGAAGCGUGCGAUUGGAUUGCACGUCUAAGCAGUAAGGCUGAGUAUUAGGCAAAUCCGGUACUCAUUAAGGCUGAGCUGUGAUGGGGAGAAGACAUUGUGUCUUCGAGUCGUUGAUUUCACACUGCCGAGAAAAGCCUCUAGAUAGAAAAUAGGUGCCCGUACCGCAAACCGACACAGGUAGUCAAGAUGAGAAUUCUAAGGUGAGCGAGCGAACUCUCGUUAAGGAACUCGGCAAAAUGACCCCGUAACUUCGGGAGAAGGGGUGCUCUUUAGGGUUAACGCCCAGAAGAGCCGCAGUGAAUAGGCCCAAGCGACUGUUUAUCAAAAACACAGGUCUCUGCUAAACCGUAAGGUGAUGUAUAGGGGCUGACGCCUGCCCGGUGCUGGAAGGUUAAGAGGAGUGGUUAGCUUCUGCGAAGCUACGAAUCGAAGCCCCAGUAAACGGCGGCCGUAACUAUAACGGUCCUAAGGUAGCGAAAUUCCUUGUCGGGUAAGUUCCGACCCGCACGAAAGGCGUAACGAUUUGGGCACUGUCUCAACGAGAGACUCGGUGAAAUCAUAGUACCUGUGAAGAUGCAGGUUACCCGCGACAGGACGGAAAGACCCCGUGGAGCUUUACUGUAGCCUGAUAUUGAAAUUCGGCACAGCUUGUACAGGAUAGGUAGGAGCCUUUGAAACGUGAGCGCUAGCUUACGUGGAGGCGCUGGUGGGAUACUACCCUAGCUGUGUUGGCUUUCUAACCCGCACCACUUAUCGUGGUGGGAGACAGUGUCAGGCGGGCAGUUUGACUGGGGCGGUCGCCUCCUAAAAGGUAACGGAGGCGCUCAAAGGUUCCCUCAGAAUGGUUGGAAAUCAUUCAUAGAGUGUAAAGGCAUAAGGGAGCUUGACUGCGAGACCUACAAGUCGAGCAGGGUCGAAAGACGGACUUAGUGAUCCGGUGGUUCCGCAUGGAAGGGCCAUCGCUCAACGGAUAAAAGCUACCCCGGGGAUAACAGGCUUAUCUCCCCCAAGAGUUCACAUCGACGGGGAGGUUUGGCACCUCGAUGUCGGCUCAUCGCAUCCUGGGGCUGUAGUCGGUCCCAAGGGUUGGGCUGUUCGCCCAUUAAAGCGGUACGCGAGCUGGGUUCAGAACGUCGUGAGACAGUUCGGUCCCUAUCCGUCGUGGGCGUAGGAAAUUUGAGAGGAGCUGUCCUUAGUACGAGAGGACCGGGAUGGACAUACCUCUGGUGUACCAGUUGUCGUGCCAACGGCAUAGCUGGGUAGCUAUGUGUGGACGGGAUAAGUGCUGAAAGCAUCUAAGCAUGAAGCCCCCCUCAAGAUGAGAUUUCCCAACUUCGGUUAUAAGAUCCCUCAAAGAUGAUGAGGUUAAUAGGUUCGAGGUGGAAGCAUGGUGACAUGUGGAGCUGACGAAUACUAAUCGAUCGAAGACUUAAUCAA
Molecule: ribosomal RNA, 2922 nt
Filed under: Staphylococcus aureus
Lineage: Bacteria; Bacillati; Bacillota; Bacilli; Caryophanales; Staphylococcaceae
Also listed under: 6 other names
Description: bacterial LSU rRNA
Rfam family: Bacterial large subunit ribosomal RNA
Source: RNAcentral